Molecule: ribosomal RNA, 460 nt
Filed under: uncultured bacterium
Lineage: Bacteria
Description: partial 16S ribosomal RNA
Rfam family: Bacterial small subunit ribosomal RNA
Source: RNAcentral
CCUACGGGAGGCAGCAGUGAGGAAUAUUGGUCAAUGGACGAGAGUCUGAACCAGCCAAGUAGCGUGAAGGAUGACUGCCCUAUGGGUUGUAAACUUCUUUUAUAAGGGAAUAAAACGAGGCACGUGUGCCUGUUUGCAUGUACUUUAUGAAUAAGGAUCGGCUAACUCCGUGCCAGCAGCCGCGGUAAUACGGAGGAUCCGAGCUUUAUCCGGAUUUAUUGGGUUUAAAGGGAGCGUAGAUGGGUUGUUAAGUCAGUUGUGAAAGUUUGCGGCUCAACCGUAAAAUUGCAAUUGAUACUGGCAGUCUUGAGUACAGUUGAGGUAGGCGGAAUUCGUGGUGUAGCGGUGAAAUGCUUAGAUAUCACGAAGAACCCCGAUUGCGAAGGCAGCUUACUAAACUGUGACUGACAUUGAUGCUCGAAAGUGUGGGUAUCAAACAGGAUUAGAUACCCUGGUAGUC